Papaver somniferum (opium poppy) is the source of this 3688-nucleotide long non-coding RNA. RefSeq lists it as uncharacterized. NCBI's taxonomy places the organism in Eukaryota, Viridiplantae, Streptophyta, Magnoliopsida, Ranunculales, Papaveraceae. The transcript has 3 exons. The record is from RefSeq and is a predicted model, not a curated record.
UCUCACUAUCUCAAAUUCAAAAUGUCUCGCCGCUGUGAAUAAAAAAACAGAUAAUCGAUCGGUUAGUUUUCUUUCCUUUCGUUGUUAGACAUGGAACACGCAAGUUUCUUCUCGGGACUUAUUUUUUUCAUCAGGUUAAUCUUGGGAUGUUCUCCAUCAUUUUGAUAUUUUAUUUCGUACCAAUGGAAGAUGAAUCACCAAUUUUUGGGAACAAAAGAUGUUCUCCAUGAUUUUGAUAUUUGAUUUCGUUCCCAAAGGAGAUGAAUCACCAAUUUAUUUUUGGGAGCAACAAUCAGAUUACAAGUAUGAUUUUGUGAGUCCCUGAACAAUCAAAUUUUCGUUCAAAUUUUUAUUCGUUAUUUGUAUCCAUUUUUUUUUAAAACUUGCUUCUCUGAUUCCUCAAGAUAAUAAUUUUGAUUCCUUAUGUGGGUGAACUUUUUUUUUUUUUUUUCUUCCAAUAGACAAAUCUACGGCUGUGGUGAAUCCUAUAACACUAAACUCAUUGAACUGUCAUUAAUUCAUUUGUCCAGAUUUCGUUUAACUCAUAUUGAUCUUCCUGAUUCUCUCUCGCUUCCUCAUUUUUAGAACCCGGUCAGUAAACUGAUUUAAAGGCUGGUUUGAGACACCAAACCCAUAGUUUUAAGGUUAGAAGGUGAAGAAGAUGAAUAAGAGUGUUCAUAUGGGUAAUGAUUUUGUUAUACAAACUGCUUUAUUUAAAGUUACCUUCAAUUUUUUAUUUUACUUAGGGUUUCUGGAACCGGUGGUUAUUUUUGAAUUUUUUGAUUUUACAUGUGAAUGGUAAUUCCUUUUUUUUUUUUUUCUUUUUGAAUCCUAACGUUUUUAGUUGUCGUCAUCCUCUUCCGAUUAAGUUCGGUAAAAACAUAUUUAUCAUAGAUUUGGCUUCAGAUCGACUCAGGAAUCAUCUCAGGAAGGAAUUGAUUAUGUCAAUGGAUUGUUGAAAUAUCGUUUGGCUAUUUAGAAAGAUAUGUGUUGUAGAGACGUGUUUCCUGCAAAACCUAAAUUGUCAGGCCUUGAAGAUUUCUAUGGUCUGUGGAAUCUGUUGUGCUGCAGUGUGGGUUAUAUUUGUUUAUGGAUUCAAAUUUUUUUGUUUACAUCAGGUCUCAUUUGUUUCAAACUCAUUUUCUUGAAGUUCUAAUGGAUGUUCUAUUGCUCUUUCAUUCAGCUUUCAUGCGUAAUAAUUAUUGUCUUGAUGUUUACUUUUUCCAUGUUUCAUAUCGUAGUUCAGGAUUAAACUCUCAUUCAAUGAGAGGAAUUUGGUUUACUAUUAACUGGAAUUCCCAUUCAUUGUAUUCCAUUUCCAAUUGAAUUAUUAGCACGAUAGAGCGUAUAGCAAACGGCGGAUAAGAAGUAGCAUAUUACAUGAUCUUAAUACAGUUGAUGGUCCUAGACCGUGUGAGAUUGAUGGUAUUGGUGAUGGUGAUGUUAUAGCUUGGAUAAUAAAGAUGGUUAUGAUUCGUCUUCUUAUCCUAGCGAGUCUUCUAGGAAACGGAUGAUAUAUCGAGUGCUGAUGGCAAUUUGGAUUCAAAAUGAGUAUAUGACUUUUUUAUUUUAUUUCUUUUCCAUCUUAGAUUCACUAAUGACUAAUUUUAGUUGUCUGCAAAGAUACGUGUUACCACUUGAAACUACAAGGGCACGGUUUUUACAGGUUAUAGGGAUAACUUAAUUACCGAGUCAGAGCAUGCAAUUAAAUUACUAGAAUGUUAUCGUGGCUACAGCGUGCAAUGUUAGAAAGAUAAAAAUUUUAAGAGGAAAUCAAGAGAAGCUCAAGGUGAUUCAAGGUUUGUAUUGCCACUGAGUUCACAGCAACGCCAAAUAUUUGAAUAAACUGGACAUAAAAAAACGUUUUUUACAUAGCUUAUUCAGUAUUCUGUUAAAGAUCAUAGUUUGGUUACUCUAAACCUGCAAUUCACCUAAGCUAUUCUGAUUCAUUGGCUUAUGCUUUAUUUCUAAGCAGUGUUGUAAAGAACUCUUUGACACAAAUGGUUUCGAAAGGCUUAUGAAUGCAAAAUAUAUAGUGAUUAUUUUCUUUGAACACAGAUUUAUUAGCUUACGGCAUCUUCGACUUUUGGUUUUAUCUUACUGUUUAUGUUUUCAGUGUAAGGGUUUCUUCUUAUUUCCCAUCUCAUUUGUUGUUGGAUUUCAAGUAUUCUAUUGUUUUUCAUUUUCAAUCAACGCUCUCUUUAAGAUUGUAAAGCUCAUGUCAAAUGAAUCAGCAUCUUUGGAGCUCCAAAUUUCUAUCUGCCGCCCUAUAAUAUUCUCAGAAUGGCUUCUAAGGUAUCUCUCCAUUUUGGCCAUUUCAUAUCUCCCAUUGUUGAACUGUAGAUGUGUGUAUCUAACUACAAGUUUUCAUCAUCGAUGCAAACCUUUUGCAGGUACGUACCAAUUAUCAAAAGUGUAGAAUUCGUGCUUAUGUCAAUGUCAUACUUCUGUAUGAAGCUAGGCUAUUCAUUUUUUUAUUUUAUGAUUAACUGAUCCUAGCUACAUUCCUUUUCAGAGAUAUGUCCGUUACUUCAAAAUUAGGGGUUGCUUUUAGAUCUCAAUGUUAAUCAAAUUGUAGCAUUUUCAUAUCUCUUAUAGGAUUGUACAUGGCAUGGUCAAUUCAUCUUGGCAUUAAGAUUAUGCACAAAUCACUUGGGGAUAUUCUGGAGAACCUCACCACUGACUGACGGCUGUAAUGGUUGUUAUUAAAUUAUUCUAAUCUUCUAUUUGGUUAAUUAUGAAAGGCUUCAUGAUACAGACUGGAGGUCCUCUGGGAGACAACGAUGGUGGGAGGUCUAUUUGGGGUGGGGAGUUUGAAGAUGAGUUAUACAAAAGGUAACUCUUAUUGCUGAUUUACAAUAGUCAGUUACAGAUUUAAUUUAGUUUACUUCUAGGAUCAUAUGAUUAUAAGCUUAUUAUGGCUAAGUUCUCUGUCAUUCCUCCCCAUCUCAGAUUGUUAUCAUUAUCUGUGCAUUCCAGCCUCAUGUUCUCAUUUGAUACGAAGAGCUUACAUACGAGGAAUGGUUAUUUUUUCUAAUUUGCGGCUAAAGGCAUGAUAGCCUUUUCACACUGUCCAUGGCUAAUUGAUGCGAAAAAAAGUACUAAUGACGCUCAGUUCUUUAUAACAUUGUAGCAACACCAUGGCUUGAAUAAUAAACACUCUAUAUUCGAUAGAGUUAUAAAAAGAAUGGACGUGGUGCAGGUAUUUUUUUUGUUUGAUCGGUCAAAUAGAAAUUUCAUUGAAAAAAGGCACUUAAGGGGGUACCUUAACCCAAUGAUUACAACCGAACAAAAAAGGGGAACUGAAAGGGGAUUCGCUACCCAAAUAAAAACCACAAAAAAAAAUUAUGACGGAGGCCGGUAUAAUGAAUCCCAUAGAGAAAUCACCAUAUUUGCCGGUACUUUUAUUUUUUUUAUCUUUACUAUUUCCAUGUAAUUCUCCUCAUGUACGUGUAAUCAUCAAGUUAAUUAGUGAUCCAUGAACGAAGUCUUGAUUCUUAACUGCUGCUUACUUAUACUACUCAUGUAUACAGGGCAGAAAAGAGGGUGAAGAAAGGCAAGCAAGACAAAAGCUACCCAAAUGCUAAAUUAUUAAAUAUGACUAUUCCCAAGUUUUGUAUUUUCUUUCUGGAACAAGUAAUCAUGACAUUUUCACCUAUUAUCGUAAAAAUCUUUCAUGACUUUUCAA